AAUGAACGUUGGCGGCGUGGAUUAGGCAUGCAAGUCGAGCGAUGAAACCGUGCUUGCACGGUGGAUUAGCGGCGAAAGGGAGAGUAACGCGUAGGUAUGUGCCCUCAGGUCCGGGAUAGCGGUGGGAAACCGCCGGUAAUACCGGAUAAUGUGUCAGCACCAAAGGUGUGAUUCCGCCUGAGGAGCGGCCUGCGUCCUAUUAGGUUGUUGGUGGGGUAAUGGCCUACCAAGCCGAAGAUGGGUACCGGGUGUGAGAGCAUGGCCCGGCUCACUGGGACUGAGACACUGCCCAGACACCUACGGGUGGCUGCAGUCGAGAAUCUUCCGCAAUGGACGAAAGUCUGACGGAGCGACGCCGCGUGCGGGAUGAAGGCCUUCGGG
RNAcentral lists this ribosomal RNA (381 nucleotides) under uncultured bacterium. RNAcentral describes it as "bacterial SSU rRNA". It matches the Rfam family "Bacterial small subunit ribosomal RNA", at positions 28 to 422 of the family's 1533-position model. The record is from RNAcentral.